Molecule: long non-coding RNA, 215 nt
Filed under: Elaeis guineensis (African oil palm)
Lineage: Eukaryota; Viridiplantae; Streptophyta; Magnoliopsida; Arecales; Arecaceae
Description: long non-coding RNA (EGUI_LNC063259)
Source: RNAcentral
AAGAUUACUAAAUAUCUUGUCAUUAAUAAGUAAUUACUUGCAGGACUUUCAUAGGAAGUGACUGAAUAUAUGGUCACAAUGUUCACAAAUGAUAGUAAUUUUUUUUGCUAACAAAAAAAGAAAAAAAAUGCUGAAGUGUCUCGUCAUUUUACUUGGUUAUCGUAAUGUUCACACUAUAAUUUCUCCCCAAUAUCAUAAUUUUCAGCAAGUGGAUG